RNAcentral lists this ribosomal RNA (468 nucleotides) under uncultured bacterium. RNAcentral's name for it is "partial 16S ribosomal RNA". It matches the Rfam family "Bacterial small subunit ribosomal RNA", at positions 28 to 507 of the family's 1533-position model. The record is from RNAcentral.
GACGAACGCUGGCGGCGUGCUUAACACAUACAAGUCGAACGGAAAGGCCCUGCUUUUGUGGGGUGCUCGAGUGGCGAACGGGUGAGUAACACGUGAGUAACCUGCCCUUGACUUUGGGAUAACUUCAGGAAACUGGGGCUAAUACCGGAUAGGAGCUCCUGCUGCAUGGUGGGGGUUGGAAAGUUUCGGCGGUUGGGGAUGGACUCGCGGCUUAUCAGCUUGUUGGUGGGGUAGUGGCUUACCAAGGCUUUGACGGGUAGCCGGCCUGAGAGGGUGACCGGCCACAUUGGGACUGAGAUACGGCCCAGACUCCUACGGGAGGCAGCAGUGGGGUAUAUUGCACAAUGGGCGGAAGCCUGAUGCAGCAACGCCGCGUGCGGGAUGACGGCCUUCGGGUUGUAAACCGCUUUCGCCUGUGACGAAGCGUGAGUGACGGUAAUGGGUAAAGAAGCACCGGCUAACUACGUG